GUAGAAGAUGAUUUUAGCACAAUGGAGAAGUUCUAAGAAAAAGCAGGCAUGUGAGUGAGAAAGGAGGACACCGCCUUCUGAUUUGUACCCCCAGGUCUUACUACUUCUUCCAAAACCUUGUGACUCCAAAGUCCCUGAGCAGGCCGCUGCUUGUUCUGGCCAGAGAGCAGAGCCACCCACCAGGUGCCUGCAGUCUCCUACCCAAAAGGGAAGAAUCAAGAAUAAUGAAAGCACAGGACUAGAAGGGAUGGCAAUGACCCACUACAGCCUUCCUCCUGCAUCCACCCCAGUCACUGAGAUUGGUUCAGGGAGUAGCACAUGGCCAGAGUUCGCCCAGGAAGACAGUUUCUUUUUGUUACAGUUGUUAAGCUGAUUUCCACCAGAACAACGAAUUCACUGAUGGGCUAGUAAGUGUGCAUGAAGAAGGAACCCUUGGCAGAUGUUGCAGCCACCGAAAAAAAGAACCCGAGUUUAAUUUUAAAUGUCUGGUUUGUCUCAGCACGAACUGAUUGUUCUGUCUUGUUUCUCGCUUUCAAACAUGGAGGCAGCAGAUUCACUUGGUGCCAUUGAAACUGUCAACAAAAUAAGGAGCCUCCACUUGGUGCCCUACGCAUUAACAAAAGUAAGCUGCCUUCCAUGACUCAGCCUUGACUACAGGUUGACUGUGCUCCCCUCGCCGGAUGCAGAACACAAAAACAAAUAAGCAGACCCUUCCCAGCAAAGAAGACAGAAACAACAGGCAAGGCUUCAAAAUCCUUUUUCUUAAGUCUGAAACGUAUCAGCAUUCAAAAAACCGUUCGAAGGCAUACUUCCUGGCAUGAUUUAUGUUGAGAGUGAAGUGGACGUCUACUGAGUAGUACAUGGGAUGUCAAAGGACAGUCAAACCUUUCGAUCCUGAUCUUUGAGUCAAACUACAGGUUUACACCCAUGGUGCUUCUUCCUGAGUAAAUGGGAC
This is a long non-coding RNA of Canis lupus familiaris (dog), 955 nucleotides long. RefSeq lists it as uncharacterized. The record is from RefSeq and is a predicted model, not a curated record. The transcript has 3 exons. NCBI's taxonomy places the organism in Eukaryota, Metazoa, Chordata, Mammalia, Carnivora, Canidae.